This 303-nucleotide ribosomal RNA is filed under the name uncultured bacterium. Its description in RNAcentral is "partial 16S ribosomal RNA". It matches the Rfam family "Bacterial small subunit ribosomal RNA", at positions 507 to 808 of the family's 1533-position model. The record is from RNAcentral.
AGCAGUCGCCGCGGUAAUACGUAGGGGGCUAGCGUUAUCCGGAUUUACUGGGCGUAAAGGGUGCGUAGGUGGUCCUUCAAGUCGGUGGUUAAAGGCUACGGCUCAACCGUAGUAAGCCGCCGAAACUGGAGGACUUGAGUGCAGGAGAGGAAAGUGGAAUUCCCAGUGUAGCGGUGAAAUGCGUAGAUAUUGGGAGGAACACCAGUAGCGAAGGCGGCUUUCUGGACUGCAACUGACACUGAGGCACGAAAGCGUGGGUAACAAACAGGAUUAGAUACCCGAGUAGUCCCUGUCUCUUAUACA